This 937-nucleotide ribosomal RNA is filed under the name uncultured bacterium. Its description in RNAcentral is "bacterial SSU rRNA". It matches the Rfam family "Bacterial small subunit ribosomal RNA", at positions 8 to 916 of the family's 1533-position model. The record is from RNAcentral.
AGAGUUUGAUCAUGGCUCAGGACGAACGCGGGCGGCGUGCUAAUACAUGCAAGUCGUACGCUUCUUUUUCCACCGGAGCUUGCUCCACCGGAAAAAGAAGAGUGGCGAACGGGUGAGUAACACGUGGGUAACCUGCCCAUCAGAAGGGGAUAACACUUGGAAACAGGUGCUAAUACCGUAUAACAAUCGAAACCGCAUGGUUUUGAUUUGAAAGACGCUUUCGGGUGUCGCUGAUGGAUGGACCCGCGGUGCAUUAGCUAGUUGGUGAGGUAACGGCUCACCAAGGCCACGAUGCAUAGCCGGCCUGAGAGGGUGAUCGGCCACAUUGGGACUGAGACACGGCCCAAACUCCUACGGGAGGCAGCAGUAGGGAAUCUUCCACAAUGGACGCAAGUCUGAUGGAGCAACGCCGCGUGAGUGAAGAAGGUUUUCGGAUCGUAAAGCUCUGUUGUUGGUGAAGAAGGAUAGAGGUAGUAACUGGCCUUUAUUUGACGGUAAUCAACCAGAAAGUCACGGCUAACUACGUGCCAGCAGCCGCGGUAAUACGUAGGUGGCAAGCGUUGUCCGGAUUUAUUGGGCGUAAAGCGAGCGCAGGCGGAAAAAUAAGUCUGAUGUGAAAGCCCUCGGCUUAACCGAGGAACUGCAUCGGAAACUGUUUUUCUUGAGUGCAGAAGAGGAGAGUGGAACUCCAUGUGUAGCGGUGGAAUGCGUAGAUAUAUGGAAGAACACCAGUGGCGAAGGCGGCUCUCUGGUCUGCAACUGACGCUGAGGCUCGAAAGCAUGGGUAGCGAACAGGAUUAGAUACCCUGGUAGUCCAUGCCGUAAACGAUGAGUGCUAAGUGUUGGGAGGUUUCCGCCUCUCAGUGCUGCAGCUAACGCAUUAAGCACUCCGCCUGGGGAGUACGACCGCAAGGUUGAAACUCAAAUGAAUUGACGG